RNAcentral lists this ribosomal RNA (252 nucleotides) under uncultured bacterium. RNAcentral's name for it is "partial 16S ribosomal RNA". It matches the Rfam family "Bacterial small subunit ribosomal RNA", at positions 525 to 776 of the family's 1533-position model. The record is from RNAcentral.
ACGAAGGGGGCGAGCGUUAUUCGGAAUCACUGGGCGUAAAGCGUGCGUAGGCGGUCUUGAAAGUUGGAAGUGAAAGCCCAGGGCUCAACCCUGGAAUUGCUUUCAAAACUACAAGACUAGAAUUCAGGAGAGGAUAGCGGAAUUCCCAGUGUAGCAGUGAAAUGCGUAGAUAUUGGGAGGAACACCAGUGGCGUAAGCGGCUAUCUGGACUGACAUUGACGCUGAGGCACGAAAGCGUGGGGAUCAAACAGG